RNAcentral lists this ribosomal RNA (301 nucleotides) under uncultured bacterium. Its description in RNAcentral is "partial 16S ribosomal RNA". It matches the Rfam family "Bacterial small subunit ribosomal RNA", at positions 509 to 809 of the family's 1533-position model. The record is from RNAcentral.
CAGUCGCCACGGUAAUACGUAGGGUGCGAGCGUUAAUCGGAAUUACUGGGCGUAAAGCGUGCGCAGGCGGCUUUGCAAGACAGAUGUGAAAUCCCCGGGCUCAACCUGGGAACUGCAUUUGUGACUGCAAGGCUAGAGUGCGGCAGAGGGAGAUGGAAUUCCGCGUGUAGCAGUAAAAUGCGUAGAUAUGCGGAGGAACACCGAUGGCGAAGGCAAUCUCCUGGGCCUGCACUGACGCUCAUGCACGAAAGCGUGGGGAGCAAACAGGAUUAGAUACCCCCGUAGUCCCUGUCUCUUAUAU